GAUGAACGCUGGCGGCGUGCCUAAUACAUGCAAGUCGAGCGAACGGAUGAGAAGCUUGCUUCUCUGAUGUUAGCGGCGGACGGGUGAGUAACACGUGGAUAACCUACCUAUAAGACUGGGAUAACUUCGGGAAACCGGAGCUAAUACCGGAUAAUAUUUUGAACCGCAUGGUUCAAAAGUGAAAGACGGUCUUGCCGUCACUUAUAGAUGGAUCCGCGCUGCAUUAGCUAGUUGGUAAGGUAACGGCUUACCAAGGCAACGAUGCAUAGCCGACCUGAGAGGGUGAUCGGCCACACUGGAACUGAGACACGGUCCAGACUCCUACGGGAGGCAGCAGUAGGGAAUCUUCCGCAAUGGGCGAAAGCCUGACGGAGCAACGCCGCGUGAGUGAUGAAGGUCUUCGGAUCGUAAAACUCUGUUAUUAGGGAAGAACAUAUGUGUAAGUAACUGUGCACAUCUUGACGGUACCUAAUCAGAAAGCCACGGCUAACUACGUG
This 497-nucleotide ribosomal RNA is filed under the name uncultured bacterium. RNAcentral's name for it is "partial 16S ribosomal RNA". It matches the Rfam family "Bacterial small subunit ribosomal RNA", at positions 28 to 507 of the family's 1533-position model. The record is from RNAcentral.